GCCUCGUGUAUUUGAUUAUGCGAUCAAUCUCACAUAGCUGAGGCAUUUUGGAAGUAAUAUUGUCGGCGUGUGUUGUCAUGCUUAGGCACUUUGCUUUCAAUUGUUCGACGAUGCUAUGGACCGUAGUUACCAAACCCAUCCCUGACCUUUUUAGGACGUAGUGCGGUGGCUAAACCGAGCGUUGUCUCGAGUUUUAGUCGUCACGCGAUACUACACUCAAACUAGACCUUCUUGCGAAUAAACAUGGAACGGACGUUGUCCCGUGCUACCAUGAUAUACGUAAGAGAGGUUGCAGUUUGGGAACUUGAUUAGAACCUUGGUUACUAUUAUCCUAAGCCUUAGUUUACCGGGCACCGUGUCCGCCCGUGGCUCCUCGACUUUAAUCUCAACCCUCCAUGUUUU
RNAcentral lists this long non-coding RNA (402 nucleotides) under Medicago truncatula (barrel medic). Its description in RNAcentral is "long non-coding RNA (MTRU_LNC004737)". Lineage: Eukaryota; Viridiplantae; Streptophyta; Magnoliopsida; Fabales; Fabaceae. The record is from RNAcentral.